Molecule: non-coding RNA, 81 nt
Organism: Podarcis lilfordi (Lilford's wall lizard)
Lineage: Eukaryota; Metazoa; Chordata; Lepidosauria; Squamata; Lacertidae
Source: the annotation of a GenBank genome assembly
GUGUGCCUGCCUGCUGCUUAUGAUCACAUAAGGGUGUGCUUUGCAAGCAGAAGGUUCCAGGUUCAAAUCCUGGCAUCUCCA